RNAcentral lists this ribosomal RNA (597 nucleotides) under uncultured bacterium. Its description in RNAcentral is "bacterial SSU rRNA". It matches the Rfam family "Bacterial small subunit ribosomal RNA", at positions 112 to 704 of the family's 1533-position model. The record is from RNAcentral.
AAUGCUUAGGAAUCUGCCUAUUAGUGGGGGACAACAUUCCGAAAGGAAUGCUAAUACCGCAUACGCCCUACGGGGGAAAGCAGGGGAUCUUCGGACCUUGCGCUAAUAGAUGAGCCUAAGUCAGAUUAGCUAGUUGGUGGGGUAAAGGCCUACCAAGGCGACGAUCUGUAGCGGGUCUGAGAGGACGAUCCGCCACACUGGGACUGAGACACGGCCCAGACUCCUACGGGAGGCAGCAGUGGGGAAUAUUGGACAAUGGGCGAAAGCCUGAUCCAGCCAUGCCGCGUGUGUGAAGAAGGCCUUUUGGUUGUAAAGCACUUUAAGCGAGGAGGAGGCUACUGAGAUUAAUACUCUUGGAUAGUGGACGUUACUCGCAGAAUAAGCACCGGCUAACUCUGUGCCAGCAGCCGCGGUAAUACAGAGGGUGCGAGCGUUAAUCGGAUUUACUGGGCGUAAAGCGUGCGUAGGCGGCUUUUUAAGUCGGAUGUGAAAUCCCUGAGCUUAACUUAGGAAUUGCAUUCGAUACUGGGAAGCUAGAGUAUGGGAGAGGAUGGUAGAAUUCCAGGUGUAGCGGUGAAAUGCGUAGAGAUCUGGAGG